GUGAGGAAGGCGGCGUCAGCGGAUUUCUCCACGCCUUCAUCGCGGAAGUGUUCGCCAUGGUGCGGGCCCACGUGGCCGCGCUGGGGGGCAACGCCGUGGUCUCCUACAUCAUGAAGCAGUGCGUCUUCAUGGAGAAUCCAAACAAGAACCAGGCCCAGUGCCUCAUCAACGUCAGCGGGGACGCCGUCAUCUUCGUCCGCGAAUCCGAAUCGGAGACGGCGCCGGCCACCGGCUACCAGCCCGCUCCGGCCACCCCGGCGGCCACCCCGGCCCCCGUCACCGCCUGAGCCGCGCGCCGGACGGUCCCGGAGCCCACCCCCUCCUCCUCCUUCGGAUCCCGCGGUCAUUCGUCGGGUCGCACGUCCGGGACCUCGGGGGGGGGGGGGGGGGGGGGGGCAGACGGACACCCGGAAGGGCUCCGGCCGACGAGAGGUGCCCUCGGCCCGUCGAAAUCCAGCCGGGAGCCGGGGGCGGGGGAUCCGGGCCUGGCGGACACCCGCCCGGACGGCGGGAGCGUCAAGCCAGUCUCGGCCGCUGACGACGACGCUCCGGAAGGAGGGAGGGCGAUGGGAGCGGGCUCCGCAUUUUUCCAAAUAAGUAAAUCACCAAGCAGGUCAUUUACCUAACCGGUGAUCGACCAAAUAAGACGGGAAGCCAACCCGAGAAGCCCCGGCCCGGCUGCCCCGAGGCCACGGAGGGCAGAGCGUCCGACACGGCGACGGGGUUCUCUCUCUUCGGAGCGGGAAGCCGGAGAGACGGUUCUGGGAAGCUGGGGAGCCAAACCCGAAAAGCUCCUAGUCGACUGAGCAAUCUGGUGACCGCCGAAAGGGGAAGCAGUUUCUUUACAAGCCUUUGUUGUUGUAUUUUAACUUUCGAAACGCUUGAAAGUAUAAUAAUUGUUAGGCCAGGACUGUCGUGACGCAGAAGGGAGUUUACCGGUGUCAGUGCAUUUCGUUGUAAGCGUCUGUCAUUUUUGAGGGAAUGGAAAGGUUAAUUUAUGGCUUACUCCAGAAAUACAGAUAUUUUGUUCGGUCGGUCCUGGCUGGGUAAAUUGGAAAGCAAGAUAGGUUUCCUGUAGCAUUCCUUUCUAGCAGGCCAAGUCCAAUUCUGGGAAGAAAAAAAUAAUUGGAGAAAAUAGAGGCAGGGAGAAAAGCACAUUUCUAGCCAACUCUUCGACUUGGGUUAAUUAAAAUAAAAAGGAAAGAUGUAGAUCGGUUGUGGAUGGUGAGGUUUGGACCGCGCUGGAUGUGGAAUGUGGAAUACGAAACUUGAAUGUAAAUAUGCUGCAGCGUUGACUUAAGGCAUAGGAAUGAUUCGUUUCUGUCAAUGCCAAAUUCCCAAUGUAAAUGAUCGUCCCAAGGCACAUUCCUCUUUGCACAAUAAAAUUUCUUUAUGAAACUUCAGCUUUCGGUGGGACGCCUGCAGAAUCAACAGCUCGACGGUAAGGAUGUAUUAUCAGUAUGCAUUCAUUCAGUCGUAUAUAUUGAGCGCUUACUGUGUGCAGAGCACUGUACUAAGCGCUUGGAAAGUACAAUUUGGCAACGAACAGAGGCAGUCCCUACCCACCAGCGGCCUCACAGUCUAGAAGCGGGGAGACAGACAGGAAAAGAAAACAAGUAGACAGGCAUCCAUAGCAUCAGUAUAAAUAAAUAGAAUUAGAGGUAUAUACACAUCAUUAAUAAAAUCGAAUAAUAAAUAUAGACAUAGAUACACAAGAGCUGUGGGGCAAGAAGGGGAACAGAGCAGAGGGAGGGAGUCGGGGCGACGGGAAGGGGAGGAGGAGCGGAGGGAAAGGGGGGCUCGGGCGGGGAAGGCCUCCCGGAGGAGGUGAGCUCUCAGGAGGGCUUUGAAGAGGGGAAGAGAGGGAGUUGGGCGGAGGCGAGGAGGGAGGGCGUUCCGGGACGGCGGGAGGACGCGGGCCGGGGGUCGAC
RNAcentral lists this long non-coding RNA (1931 nucleotides) under Ornithorhynchus anatinus (platypus). RNAcentral's name for it is "lncRNA (ENSOANG00000047090.1)". The record is from RNAcentral. Lineage: Eukaryota; Metazoa; Chordata; Mammalia; Monotremata; Ornithorhynchidae.